This 76-nucleotide transfer RNA is filed under the name Gammaproteobacteria bacterium. RNAcentral describes it as "tRNA-Ala". It matches the Rfam family "tRNA". Rfam says of the family: Transfer RNA (tRNA) molecules are approximately 80 nucleotides in length. Their secondary structure includes four short double-helical elements and three loops (D, anti-codon, and T loops). Further hydrogen bonds mediate the characteristic L-shaped molecular structure. tRNAs have two regions of fundamental functional importance: the anti-codon, which is responsible for specific mRNA codon recognition, and the 3' end, to which the tRNAs corresponding amino acid is attached (by aminoacyl-tRNA synthetases). tRNAs cope with the degeneracy of the genetic code in two manners: having more than one tRNA (with a specific anti-codon) for a particular amino acid; and 'wobble' base-pairing, i.e. permitting non-standard base-pairing at the 3rd anti-codon position. The record is from RNAcentral. Lineage: Bacteria; Pseudomonadati; Pseudomonadota; Gammaproteobacteria. RNAcentral also lists the same sequence under 4 other names.
GGGGCUAUAGCUCAGCUGGGAGAGCGCUUGACUGGCAGUCAAGAGGUCGGCGGUUCGAUCCCGCCUAGCUCCACCA